CAGAGAACAACUUUUCUGCUUCUUGAAUUCUCCCUGCUUUGCAAAAACCAUCAAUAAGAGUGUUAAAACUUAAAAGUAAUUGUAUUUGGAACUAGUUCCAUACGACGCAUUUCCUUGAAAAUCUUGUAAGCCUGCCCGAUCUUUUUACCCUCGCAAUAUCCAUUUAUCAAUAUGCUACAACUCCGAACAUCAACCAUGGAGCCCUUGCUAACCAUAAGAUCAAAAACUUGUCUUGCGCCCUCCAUGUCUCCUCGCAAACAGUAACCGUCCAUAAGUGAGUUGUAUGUAAUUGUAUUAGGCUCGAUAUGUCUUUGAAUCAUCAUGUCAACCACACUUUUUGCUUCCAAAACCAUCCCUUCCUUACAAAGUGUAUCAACCAAAACAUUGAAGGUGACUACAUCUGGAAAGAUAGCUUUACUCACCAUUUCAUUCAACAACCUCGUAGCUUCUUUCCAAUGGCCUAUACUGCAAACUCCAUGAAUCAAAGAGGUGUAAGUAACAACGUCUGGAGUAAUACCUCUAAUAAUCAUUUCUGAGAAGAGGUUCAUUGCAUCUACAACUAGUGUAUCCUUGCAAAGACUGUUAAUGAUGGUGCUAUAGGAAACUAUGUUAGGCUCACAACCGUUUUCUUCCAUCUUCCUAAGUAAUUGCAUGGCCGCAUUGUUGUUUCCUCUCAUGCAAAACCCCUUUAUUAGUGUAGUGAAAGUAAACACAUUGGGCUUAGAAUGGUCUCCCUGCAGCAUUUUGGUGAAAAUUCGAGCAGCCUCAGGCACUUGAUUGUGGAGAACAAAGCCGUAAUAACAUUUGGUUGAAGACCCAAUUUGAAGAAUUGUGCAAAGACAGAUAAGGCAAACCCCAUUUGAUUCAAAUGGCAAUAGCAGUUGAUGACAAUAGAGAGAGUAUAGAGAUUAGGAACAAUUCGACGCAGAAGCAUUUGUUUAAAGAGAGGGAUGACAGCCGAACAGUGUUUCAAUUUGGAAAGUUGACCCAAUAUCUGUGUGAAACGAACAACAGAAGGCAGAGGACGCGAGCGAAGCAUUUGAUGGAAGACCUUCAAGGCAUCCUCAACAUUACUCGCAAUAAUAUUGGGUCGAUUUCCUAGAUGGGUUUGUCUCGAAUGAAACAAAUCCAUGAAAUUGGUUGAGGGUGGAUGAGGACCUCUCACAAGCUGGGUUUCUCUGGAUUGAGAAUGAAAUAAAGCAACAACAACAACAAGAGUAGAGUGAAGAAAAGGCAUACCACCUAUUGUGCUGCUGCUGCAAUAAUGAGAAUAAGAAGAAGAGAAAGCCCGAACUGAUUUGCGCAUCAUCAUCUUAAGCAUAUCUGACUGAAACUCAAAUCCUCUCUAGUUGUGAAGAACUGAUUUGCUGGAGACAGCCUU
RNAcentral lists this long non-coding RNA (1381 nucleotides) under Rosa chinensis. Its description in RNAcentral is "sRNA RchiOBHm_Chr5g0074931". The record is from RNAcentral. Lineage: Eukaryota; Viridiplantae; Streptophyta; Magnoliopsida; Rosales; Rosaceae.